AUUGAACGCUGGCGGCAGGCCUAACACAUGCAAGUCGAACGAGCGGCGGACGGUUGAGUAAUGUCUGGGCAUCUGCCUGAUGGAGGGGGAUAACUACUGGAAACGGUAGCUAAUACCGCAUACAAUCAGAUGUGCCCAGAUGGGAGUAGCUAGUAGGUGGGGUAAUGGCUCACCUAGGCGACGAGCCCUAGCUGGUCUGAGAUGAUGACCAGCCACACUGUAACGGAGAGACGGGCCAGACUCGUACGGGACGAGGAAGUGGGGAAUAUUGCAUAAUGGGCGCAAGCCUGAUGCAGACAUGCCGCGUGUGUGAAGAAGGCCUUCGGGUUGUAAAGCACUUUCAGCGGGGAGGCGUUACCCGCAGAAGAAGCACCGGCGAACGCCGGGCCAGCCGCCGCGGUAAUAA
This 406-nucleotide ribosomal RNA is filed under the name uncultured bacterium. Its description in RNAcentral is "partial 16S ribosomal RNA". It matches the Rfam family "Bacterial small subunit ribosomal RNA", at positions 29 to 526 of the family's 1533-position model. The record is from RNAcentral.